Molecule: long non-coding RNA, 4771 nt
Filed under: Marmota monax (woodchuck)
Lineage: Eukaryota; Metazoa; Chordata; Mammalia; Rodentia; Sciuridae
Source: RNAcentral
AAAUAUCUUAAAAUGUAGAAAAUAAUUUUUCCUUUAAAUUAAAAAAAAUGUGACUACAAUUAUAUUUAUCCCAGAGGGGGGAAAAAGUCACUUUAUUCCAGUUAUACUUACUUUUUAUUAUUUUUUAAAAAACUACUUUGUUGGAAGUGUAAUUUACAUAACCAUAAAAUACACCCAAGUCCAGUUCAAUGAUUUUUUGUAAAUUUACAUGAUCAUAUAAGUAUCACCACAGUCCAAUUUUAGAUCAUUUCAUCAUUCCCCCAAAUCCCUGUUGUCUGUCUGUGGUCCCUCAUCUCCACCCCUCACCCUGGGCAACUACUUUUCUACUUUCUCUAUUUAGAUUUGCCUUUUCUGGACAUACCAUGCAAAUGAAGUCAUGUAACAAAUGCUCUUUAGCAUCUGUCUUCUUUGAUAUAGAAUAAAGUAUUUGAGGCUCUUUCAGGUGGUAGCAUAUAUCUGCACUUGGUUUCUUUUUAUUGCUAACCAGUAUUCAUUCAAUUUGAUGACUGUACCAUACUUUGUUAAUCAGUUGGUGGCUAUUUCUGCAAUUUUUUAAAAUAGUAAGAUAGAUAUAUUGGUCUGGCUUCCAUAGCAGCAUAAUUUGAAAAUAACUGACAUGAGCCUUCUUCUUAUUAGAUGCUUUGAUUCUCCUUCAUGAUUUAAAAUAUUAAUGCCAAGAGUUAAACACCUAGGUUCCUUUUAAGCAAGGGAGCUUUCCUAUGUGGAACUAUUUAUUUAGAGAACCAAAUAAGACCUUCUUAAUGUUGAUUUUUGGUGUGCCUCUUUAAGGAGUCAGAAAUCUUGAAUAGCAGUUCCCAGUUUAAAUUUUUUCUUAUACACUCCUUUUAUCCCGCCUUGUGCUACCAUGGCAGGUACAUGGCGGGGGUGGGGGGGGGCAGGUCAUGCUUGACAACUUAGAGAAAUUUCUCUACUUGAGUAGCAACCCUUCUCUAAAAAUCUGGCAGUUUUUGUGAAUCAAAAGAAGAAAAGACAGUAUCUUUCUGAAUGCCUUUCAGUUACUACUCAAAUUGAAAGUUCAUAUUGGGGAAAACAGAACAUUAAAAUAAAUAGCUUGAAGUUUAUUUUAUUGGUAACUUAGAAUCAAGAGAUUUUCUUAAACAUCUAAAAUCUGAAAAUAAGACAGCCUAGUAGGUCAAAUAAUAUGGCUUUCCAAAGCUAAAUGUGUUCCUGUGGAAUUCUGUUUUUGUCUGAAAUGUCCAAACAACUUCCUCUAAUUCUUAGGUGAAGGCAGAAGUUUAGUGAUCAAUCUCAGUUGGUAGCAACACCCCCAUCCUUGGGCAGGAUUUUAAGAAUUCUAAAACUGAUAUAUUUUUCUUGCCUCAUAGUGAUAACUUUAUUCUAAAUAUCUCCUAAGAAGUCUAUUCCGUUUUCAGGAAUCCACCUUCACCCUUCUUACUUUCACGUGUUUCAGGUAUCCAGGUGGAAACAUUCACCACGCUGUGUGGGUCCUCCAGGAGGACAAAGGCUUGAUGGGCCCAGCGCUGUGAGCACCUCUGACCUGGGUUCCCUAGGUAGUGAUGAUCUGGUAUGAGGAGCCUGGUGCCUCUCAGCCAGGACAGGCAGCUGCCUCUCAGCCUUGUAACUUUCUGGAUUUUAGUAGAAGGCUGCUCUCUGAUAAGAUGGACAUCUUCGUGGCACAGAAGGGUGAGCAGAGAGUGACCAAAAGGAGGUUCCAGGGCUUGAAUAGACUUUCUACUCCUGGACCCCAUCACUCACAUGCAAAUGGACAAAGAUGGAGGAUAAAAACAUGUUGUGCAUCUAAAAAAUUGUUAGGAAAGGGAUGAAUAGACAAGAGAAGGAAUCUCUCAUUUGUGUUUAGAUUUAAUUCUUGUUGCAGGUGUUCAGGUCUUUCCAUCUAUCUAUCUUCCUUCCUUCCUUCCUUCCUUCCUUUCUUCCUUUCUUUCGAUUGAACUCAGGGGCACUUGACCACUAUGCCACAUCCCCAGCCCAAUUUUGUAUUUUAUUCACAGACAGGGUCUCAUUGAGUUGCUUAGUGCCUCAACAUUGCUGAGGCUGGUUUUGAACUGGUGAUCCUCAUCCUCCCAAGCCGCUGGGAUUACAGGCGUGUGCCACUGCACCCUACUUCUUGUAUUUCUUAUAUAUUCUAUAUAUUUCCUCCCACUCUUUCACCUUAGUAAAUAGCACUCAUCAUUAAUUUCCUUGCAAUGUCUAAAAGACUUUUGUGUCUGUUGUUACAUUAGAUAUCAGCUGUUACUAUCUUGAGCUUCAACAGUUCAACCUACCUACUACCAACAUACCUACCACCUCUCUACUUACCUGUUAGAGUUCACUUGGCUGCUCAUUAACAGUUCUGAGUUCAUUGCUGUUUCUUGUCAUUUACACUUUUUUUUGGUUAAUAUUUAAAUGAAGGAAAACAAAUUCAGUUCAUUGUGACUUCCAGUUCUCAUAAAAUCAGGGAGAGCCCUUGAAUUUAAAAAUCUCAAUUGUUUCUUACUUUUUCUGGGGUACUGCACAUUAUCAUGAAAAUAAAAAGUUUUAUAUGCUAAAUCUUUUUUUCCCUGUAUUGUAUUAUUUUGUAAGUUUUAGCAUAUGGCUACAGUCAUGGAACCACCAUCACCAUCAAGAUAUGAACAGUUACUUUAUUCCCCUCCAAGAUCCUCUAUUUCUCUCUUCCCCAUUUCCAGUUCCAAGCAACCACAGAUCUGUUUCUACUUCCUAUAGUUUUGAGGACCAUGCCUUUACUACGGACCUUUAGGGACCCUCCAGACCUAAACUAUAGUAAUUGAUUUUGUUGCUGAUUAAUAUUCGCCUUGAAUUGUUUCCAGUGUUGAUAAUUAAGAACAUCAGUGUUCAGGUUCUGUGGAGCAUACAUUUUUAUUUUAUUGGGUAGAUUGCUAGGAAUUGGAUUUCUGGAUUGUACAGUUUAACUGUAUAGGAAGCUGUCAACCUGUUGUCCAUAGUGGCUGUGUGUUUUGCAUUUCCAUCAGCAAUAGACAGGAGUUCCAACUGCCCAGCGUGCUCACCAGUACUUGGUAUUACCUCCACCGGCCAUGGCUAAUCUUAAAAUGAAGUAAAUUAUGUUGUAGCUGAAAUGCUCUGGGAUGAGGCUAGAAACCUAUAGAUAUUUUGUAAACAUCUGAGCUAUUGACUCUUAGAAGCUUUUGUAAAGCCACACAAGAAAUUUUCCAAAAGCACACCAUGUAAAUGUUACAGGUCCCUGUGGUAUACAUCACUGGCAUCUGCUUCUUCUCGUAUUUUCUUGACUGAUGAGUCCUAACUGACUUCUGGUUUGAUUUGUUAGUUGGGUGAUUUGUUAAAUGGGUGACAGAGGAAAAAACGAGGGACAAGUGAGCUUAGGUGUCGCCACUUUCAAAUUGAAAUCCUAUAAGUAAACGUCCUGUGGUUGUGAAUAUAAACAUAAUUAUUUAAUAUUCACUCAAUAUGCAUCAUGGCAGAUACUCUGUGAAGUCCUUUGAAUGCCUCGUCUCAUUUGAUGGCCACAUAAUUCCAUGAGGAGGUACACAUUCUCACAUGAAUUUUCAGAUGAAGGAGCUGAAGUCUGGAGAGUUUAAAUAGUUGUGUAAGGCGGCCCUGGGUAAGAAAGUAAAGUAGUCUUCUGGACACUACUGAUGGCAUCCAAUUCCUUUGUUUUUAAGCCACAAAGCUAUAUUGCCUGUGUUCCUAGAAUAAAUCUACUGGUAUAUCAAUAUCUGCUCAGGUUCCUGAAGGACACACUGGGACCCUCACAUCAGGAGUUCCUUGACGUGACUUAGAAACUCACUUUGAAAUACCUUGAGUCCUAUCUCAGGCCCAAGAAGAAGGCUUAAAAAUUUAUUCAGAAUACUGCCAAGGCACAGUGGUAAGCUGGAAAGAGCUAACCGACUCCAGGCCAGAGUCAGCCAGGCCUUGGGUUAGGAUGCUGUGACCCUCGUGACUAGCUGGCUGUCUUUGCUCAAUCUUGCUGAGCCUCAUUUCCUCGUCUGUAAAUACCACUACUGACCUCUCUGUGCUGCUGAGACAGGUGACAUAGUCUACCCAGCACAUUCUGGGCACUCCACAGAUCCUGGGCACUCCAAAGAUCCUCUCUCACACCCUCCUUCCUGAAUGAGAGGGGCUCAUAUGAUUUGUAUCUCUUUGUAACCUAGUUGUUGAGCUGGCCCUGACUGACACCUUCAGCUGUUUCAUAGUUUGAAAUCAGACUGUAUAGCCUGUUUCAGUACAAAGACAUUUGGACUUGAGGUCAGUCUGUCUGAGUUCAGGUUAUGAUGAAAAAAUUGUAUCGUUCCUCUUUGCUUUGGUUGCACUUAUUCCGUGCUGAGGACCAUGCCUAUAAGGUAGUAUUGUAAUGAUUGAUUGUGACAAUAUAUGGAAAAUGAUUCUUUGGUAAGUGGUACAGCACUUUUUUAACAGUAUGUAUUUGUACAUAGUAUUUGCACUAAUAUUUAAUUCCUUUUCCCUAUAAAAUAAAUAGCCAUAUUUCAUAUCUAAGAGUUUUAUAUAGGAGUAAAUUUAUGUGUAUGUACCAAUGAGAGAGUAGCACGUGGUCGAAUGAAGUUAAAUCUACUGAAGAAUGAAUUACCUCCACAAAGACUGGCAGACAGAAGUGGGGUUCAGUGAGAACAGGCACGUGUUUGGUGUAGUGUGUAUUAUUUCUAGGUAAGCUGCUCAGUCACCUGAGAUGGAGCCAGCUGACACUGGAUGUCACCAUUGUGCUGUGUAAUGUAGCUGUGGCACAGGUGUGCUGCUAAAGAUUCAGGGCAAGGCCAUUCUCUCUGAGGACUUGAAGGGA